GCAAACUUGGUCAUUUAGAGGAAGUAAAAGUCGUAACAAGGUCUCCGUUGGUGAACCAGCGGAGGGAUCAUUACCGAGCUUUCUUUUGCUCAUAACCCCUGUGAACCAUCUUUUGUUGCUUCGGCAGACCGAUCUCUUUAUUAGUAGAGGUAAUACUCUACGGUUUAGAGGUCCUUGUGUGUCUGCCGAAGGGCCGAUAGGCACUUUUUACAGUUUUAGUGGAUUUUACUUGCAAGCAAAUAAAUCAAAUUACAACUUUCAGCAAUGGAUCUCUUGGCUCUGGCAUCGAUGAAGAACGCAGC
This 302-nucleotide unclassified non-coding RNA is filed under the name uncultured fungus. Its description in RNAcentral is "partial contains small subunit ribosomal RNA, internal transcribed spacer 1, and 5.8S ribosomal RNA". The stretch from base 1 to 73 matches the Rfam family "Eukaryotic small subunit ribosomal RNA", at positions 1759 to 1831 of the family's 1831-position model. The record is from RNAcentral. Lineage: Eukaryota; Fungi.